GUGUCAGCCGCCGCGGUAAUACGGAGGGUGCAAGCGUUGUCCGGAUUUAUUGGGUUUAAAGGGUGCGUAGGCGGUUUAUUAAGUCAGUGGUGAAAGACGGUCGCUCAACGAUUGCAGUGCCAUUGAUACUGGUAGACUUGAGUAUGAUUGAGGUAGCUGGAAUGGAUAGUGUAGCGGUGAAAUGCAUAGAUAUUAUCCAGAACACCAAUUGCGUAGGCAAGUUACUAAGUCAUAACUGACGCUGAGGCACGAAAGUGUGGGUAUCAAACAGGAUUAGAAACCCCCGUAGUCC
Molecule: ribosomal RNA, 292 nt
Filed under: uncultured Arcicella sp.
Lineage: Bacteria; Pseudomonadati; Bacteroidota; Cytophagia; Cytophagales; Flectobacillaceae
Description: partial 16S ribosomal RNA
Rfam family: Bacterial small subunit ribosomal RNA
Source: RNAcentral